RNAcentral lists this ribosomal RNA (492 nucleotides) under uncultured bacterium. RNAcentral's name for it is "partial 16S ribosomal RNA". It matches the Rfam family "Bacterial small subunit ribosomal RNA", at positions 29 to 507 of the family's 1533-position model. The record is from RNAcentral.
AGUGAACGCUGGCGGUAGGCCUAACACAUGCAAGUCGAACGGCAGCACAGUAAGAGCUUGCUCUUACGGGUGGCGAGUGGCGGACGGGUGAGGAAUACAUCGGAAUCUACUUUUUCGUGGGGGAUAACGUAGGGAAACUUACGCUAAUACCGCAUACGACCUACGGGUGAAAGCAGGGGAUCUUCGGACCUUGCGCGAUUGAAUUAGCCGAUGUCGGAUUAGCUAGUUGGCGGGGUAAAGGCCCACCAAGGCGACGAUCCGUAGCUGGUCUGAGAGGAUGAUCAGCCACACUGGAACUGAGACACGGUCCAGACUCCUACGGGAGGCAGCAGUGGGGAAUAUUGGACAAUGGGCGCAAGCCUGAUCCAGCCAUACCGCGUGGGUGAAGAAGGCCUUCGGGUUGUAAAGCCCUUUUGUUGGGAAAGAAAAGCAGCAGGUUAAUACACCGAUGUUCUGACGGUACCCAAAGAAUAAGCACCGGCUAACUUCGUG